RNAcentral lists this ribosomal RNA (497 nucleotides) under uncultured bacterium. Its description in RNAcentral is "partial 16S ribosomal RNA". It matches the Rfam family "Bacterial small subunit ribosomal RNA", at positions 28 to 507 of the family's 1533-position model. The record is from RNAcentral.
GAUGAACGCUGGCGGCGUGCCUAAUACAUGCAAGUCGAGCGAACAGACGAGGAGCUUGCUCCUCUGACGUUAGCGGCGGACGGGUGAGUAACACGUGGAUAACCUACCUAUAAGACUGGGAUAACUUCGGGAAACCGGAGCUAAUACCGGAUAAUAUAUUGAACCGCAUGGUUCAAUAGUGAAAGACGGUUUUGCUGUCACUUAUAGAUGGAUCCGCGCCGCAUUAGCUAGUUGGUAAGGUAACGGCUUACCAAGGCAACGAUGCGUAGCCGACCUGAGAGAGGGGGCGGCCACACUGGACCCGAGGCAGGAGCCAGACUCCUACGGGGAGCAGCGGGAGGGAAUAUGCAGGAAGGGGCGAAGGCCGAACAGAGCAAAGCAGCGUGAAUGAUGAAGGUCUGAGGAUCGUAAAACUCUGUUAUUAGGGAAGAACAUAUGUGUAAGUAACUGUGCACAUCUUGACGGUACCUAAUCAGAAAGCCACGGCUAACUACGUG